AUUUUGAGGAGGAUCACCAUAAACAGGAGUUGACUGCCGCGCCAGUUUUCCCUCUUGUUGUUGGGAUUUCAGUAAUUGCACUUUUCAUCAGCAUGCCAAGAUUGAAGGAUUUAUAUCAAGCAACAACAGGAAUACCAGCACCAGGAUUUAUGACGACUGCAAAAAAAGAACCUCGAAAGUCAGCUGUGCGAAAAAAGACAUAUUGAAGAUCCCCCCCAAUAUAAGAAACACACUAAAGUAGAUCAAGUGUUGAAGCUUGGCCUCCAUUUUCAAGUUUUGGCCAGUCACAUGGCUAAUUUACAUGAGAUCUUAGCAUCCUUGUAUACUCACUGAAGUUUCUAUUCUUUUUUGCUUUUCCCACAUCCAAGCUCUCAAUUUUAAUCUUACAAAUUUAUAUUAUUU
RNAcentral lists this unclassified non-coding RNA (402 nucleotides) under Hevea brasiliensis (rubber tree). The record is from RNAcentral. Lineage: Eukaryota; Viridiplantae; Streptophyta; Magnoliopsida; Malpighiales; Euphorbiaceae.